Molecule: ribosomal RNA, 468 nt
Filed under: uncultured bacterium
Lineage: Bacteria
Description: partial 16S ribosomal RNA
Rfam family: Bacterial small subunit ribosomal RNA
Source: RNAcentral
GACGAACGCUGGCGGCGUGCUUAACACAUGCAAGUCGAACGGAAAGGCCCUGCUUUUGUGGGGUGCUCGAGUGGCGAACGGGUGAGUAACACGUGAGUAACCUGCCCUUGACUUUGGGAUAACUUCAGGAAACUGGGGCUAAUACCGGAUAGGAGCUCAUGCAGCAUGGUGGGGGUUGGAAAGUUUCGGCGGUUGUGGAUGGACUCGCGGCUGAUCAGCUAGUUGGUGGGGUAGUGGCUUACCAAGGAUUUGACGGGUAGCCGGCCUGAGAGGGUGGCCGGCCACAUUGGGACUGAGAUACGGCCCAGACUCCUACGUGAGGCAGCAGUGGGGAAUAUUGCACAAUGGGCGGAAGCCUGAUGCAGCAACGCCGCGUGCGGGAUGACGGCCUUCGGGUUGUAAACCGCUUUCGCCUGUGACGAAGCGUGAGUGACGGUAAUGGGUAAAGAAGCACCGGCUAACUACGUG